GGAAUGCAAAACAAUCCAAUAGCUAACCUAAAAACAAAAAUCGAGACUUUAAGAAAUGAAAGAGAUGAAUUUGAGGAUAAAUUUAUAAAAAUCCAAAAGGAUUAUCAAUCCUUGCAAACUGAACUAGAGAGUAAAGAAAACGAGCUACAAUCUCUAAACCGACAUUUGAAGCUGCAGGACGAUAAUAACGAAGCCACAGAUUCCAACUUGAAAGAAAAGACGCAGCAACUUAAUCAUUACAUUGAAAAAUUCGACGAAAGUGACCGAAUCCGCAAAGUCCUCGAAACCAAGUCCAACAACGACGAAGAGCGAAUUUACCUACUGGAAAAACAAUUGGCCGAUAUAAAAUGGACAGCAGACGACAGC
This is a long non-coding RNA of Octopus sinensis (East Asian common octopus), 366 nucleotides long. RefSeq lists it as uncharacterized. Lineage: Eukaryota; Metazoa; Mollusca; Cephalopoda; Octopoda; Octopodidae. The transcript is spliced from 3 exons. The record is from RefSeq and is a predicted model, not a curated record.